AUUGAACGCUGGCGGCAGGCUUAACACAUGCAAGUCGAGCGAGCGGCGGACGGGUGAGUAAUGUCUGGGAAACUGCCUGAUGGAGGGGGAUAACUACUGGAAACGGUAGCUAAUACCUCAUACCAUCAGAUGUGCCCAGAUGGGAUUAGCUAGUAGGUGGGGUAAUGGCUCACCUAGGCGACGCUCCCUAGCUGGUCCGAGCGGAUGACCAGCCAAACUGGAACGGGGAAACGGGCCAGAAUCCGACGGGAGGGAGCAGGGGGGAAUAUUGGACAAGGGGGGCAAGCCUGAUGCAGCAAUGCCGGGUGUGGGAAGAAGGCCUUCGGGUUGUAAAGCAAUUUCAGCGAGGAGGCGUUACUCACAGAAGAAGCACCGGCUAACUCCGUGCCAGCAGCCGCGGUAAUAC
This 406-nucleotide ribosomal RNA is filed under the name uncultured bacterium. RNAcentral describes it as "partial 16S ribosomal RNA". It matches the Rfam family "Bacterial small subunit ribosomal RNA", at positions 29 to 526 of the family's 1533-position model. The record is from RNAcentral.